This 466-nucleotide ribosomal RNA is filed under the name uncultured bacterium. RNAcentral's name for it is "bacterial SSU rRNA". It matches the Rfam family "Bacterial small subunit ribosomal RNA", at positions 338 to 795 of the family's 1533-position model. The record is from RNAcentral.
CCUACGGGGGGCUGCAGUCGAGAGGCUUCGGCAAUGGGGGAAACCCUGACCGAGCGACGCCGCGUGAAGGAUGAAGGCCCUUGGGUUGUAAACUUCUUUUGUCAGCGAAGAAAUGCGAUCAGGUGAAUAAUCUGGUCGCUUGACGGUAGCUGACGAAUAAGCUCCGGCUAACUCCGUGCCAGCAGCCGCGGUAACACGGGGGGAGCAAGCGUUGUUCGGAAUCACUGGGCGUAAAGGGCGUGUAGGCGGUCAGAUAAGUGAGAUGUGAAAUGCCUCGGCUCACCCGAGGACCUGCAUCUCAUACUGUCUGGCUUGAGUACGGGAGAGGAUGAGGGAAUUCCUGGUGUAGCGGUGAAAUGCGUAGAUAUCAGGAGGAACACCGGUGGCGAAGGCGCUCAUCUGGCCCGAUACUGACGCUGAGGCGCGAAAGCUAGGGGAGCAAACGGGAUUAGAUACCCCGGUAGUC